RNAcentral lists this transfer RNA (87 nucleotides) under Ectothiorhodospira magna. Its description in RNAcentral is "Ectothiorhodospira sp. B7-7 tRNA". It matches the Rfam family "tRNA". From Rfam's summary of the family: Transfer RNA (tRNA) molecules are approximately 80 nucleotides in length. The record is from Rfam by way of RNAcentral. Lineage: Bacteria; Pseudomonadati; Pseudomonadota; Gammaproteobacteria; Chromatiales; Ectothiorhodospiraceae.
GGAGAGGUGCCGGAGUGGUCGAACGGGGCGGUCUCGAAAACCGUUGUACGUGCAAGCGUACCGAGGGUUCGAAUCCCUCCCUCUCCG